This is a long non-coding RNA of Acinonyx jubatus (cheetah), 7735 nucleotides long. RefSeq lists it as uncharacterized. The record is from RefSeq and is a predicted model, not a curated record. Lineage: Eukaryota; Metazoa; Chordata; Mammalia; Carnivora; Felidae. The transcript has 2 exons.
AGAGAGAGAGAGAGAGAGAGAGAGAGAGAGAGAGACAGAAUCUGAAGCAGGCUCCAGGCUCUGAACUGUCAGCACAGAGCCUAAUGUGGGGCUCAAACCCAUGAACCAUGAGAUCAUGACCUGAGCCGAAGUCGGACACUUAACCCAUUGAACCAUCUGGGCGACCCCUAAAGAGUAUGUUUUUAAAAUCCUGAGAAGUUAAUGCCAAAUUGGUGUGACCUUCCUAAAGGCAAUUCCUACCAUAAAUGUAUAAAAUUAUGGCUCAUAAUUUAUUUUAUUUUUUUAAAUUUUUUUUCAUAUUUAUUUAUUUUGAGAGAGAGAGCACACACGCACAAGUAGGGGAGCGGCAGAGAGAGAGAGAGAGAGAAUCCCAAGCAGGCUCCAACGCUGUCAGUGCAGAGCCCAAUACAGGGCUUGAACUUACGAACCAUGAGAUCAUGACCUGAGCUGAAAUCAGGAGCCCAGCGCUUAACCGGCUGAACCACCCAGAUGCCCUUUGGCUCAUUUAAAUCCUACUUCUGUACUGCUACUUUCACCAUAUUGAAGUAUUUUUACAUAGAUUUCAUGUAGUGUCUUAAACAUUAUUUAGCACAUAUUAAAAGUCCUGAGGGUUCUAAUGCUAACACCACUGCCUUUCAAAAAUAGAGUUGUUUUUCCGAUGGUAAUCCUUUUCAUUAAUGGCGUAUUUCCAAAUGAAGGAGGGAAGGACAUGAGUAUAGAGUCAAAGCAGUUGGUCUGGUUAAGGGUCAAAUCCAUGACUGUGGCUUUAUUUAUACAAUGUUAGACUCUCCAACUGAAAUAACCUGAAGCUGGUAUAGUUCAUGUUAGAAUUCACUCUUGGUGUGUACAUUCUAUAGGUUUGGACAAAUGUAUGACAUGUAUCCAUUAUUAUAGUGUCACACAGAAUAUUUUCUUCCUCUUUUUUUUUUAAUAUUUUUUUUCCACCGUAAUCUCCACAUCCAACAUAGGGCUUGAACUCACAACCCCAAGUUCAAGGGUUGCAUGCUCUACCCACUGGGCCCGCCAGGUGCCCCUCAUGCAGAAUAUUUUUACUGCCCUUUAUCCUCCGUGCUCUGUUUAUUCAUCUCUCCGUGUCCCUUACCCCCUAACCUGUAGCAACCUGAUGGCAAUUGCUAUUUUCACUGCCCCCAUAGUUUUGCCUUUUACAGAAUUCUGUAUAGUUGGAAUCGUACUCAAAUUCUUUUAUCAGCUGUUUCAUUUAGCAUAUAAUAUAUAACCAUAAGCUUGCCUUACUAGAUCAGAAAGGAGCAAAUUUAGAAAGGAACAAAGUAGUUGAACUUUUAACAAUGGUAUCGAGCAGUUCGAGAGUGAAAUGUAUCCAGUUAAUAUUGUGUACUUACAGGAAAUUUUGUUUGAAUUAAAUUUGGACAGGAUAUAAUAUGUAAGUAUCUUGUGUUUAUGAUUCCCUUAGGCUUUACUGUGCACAAUUUUCUGUGUAUUUGUAAAUUUCAAGAUGACUCUGAGUGAGGAAACCCAAGGCCUUUCUAGUGCAUGUUCCUGUUUUGAAAUGGACUAGUUUUGUCCAGGUAGUUGGUGAGUAGUCUGUAGCAACAAGAAGAUGGCCUGUACAGUAACCAUUAAUGAAAGACAUGUUUCAAUAUCUAAGAAAAGACUCUACCUUCAGUAUUUUCUGGUUUCAUAAAGACUUGAUAGUUUUCCUUUUUAUAGAAAUGAAGAUUUAUAUGUUUAUUUUUUAAUCUAGCUUGAUAACAUGGUUAAAAAAGAAUAGCAUCAUCUGUGGUGAUUCCUACUGAAAUAGGUAAUCCAGAAGAUUUGAUAUGGCUAUAUUUCUUGCUGUUUUGUUUUUGCUAAGUCAUUCUUUAAAAAAAAAAUUUUUUUUUUUAAUGUUUAUUUUUGAAAAUGAGAGAGAGAGACAGAGUAUGACUAGGGGAGGGGCAGAGAGACAGGGAGACACAGAAUCCAAAGCAGGCUCCAGGCUCCGAGCUGUCAGCACAAAGCCGGAUGCUAGACUUGAACUCACGAGCUGUGAGAUCACCACCUUACCUGAAGUUGGACACUUAACCAACUGAGUCACCCAUGAGCCCCUGGAAGUCCUAAGUCAUUCUUUUGCAAGUGCAAAGUAAAUCAGUUUAAGUGGAAAUUUUUAGUUAUUUUCACUUUAGGUUGUGUUUUUGGUAUACACCUUGAUUGUGAUGUCAGAGUGUCACGUUGAAGAGGCGUUACUAUGUUAUUUCUAUUGGCUGACAAUCUUUCUUUUCCUGUAGCUUAAUUGGCAAUUAUGUUUCUUUUAUGUAAUCAGUAAUGUUAUUCCAUUUAGUUGUAACCAUAUUGUAUAAAAUUAUGUUUUUACAAAAUUGCUUUUUUCCCCCUAUAGUCUCAAAUACCCUGCUUUUUUUUUUCUUUCAAUAAAUUUAUGAAACAUGGUUAAGCUUUCUCUAUUUUAUUGGGGAAAUAAUCAUGAAAAAGUUAAUGCUUUAAAUAUUCUUCAUGAAGUAAGAUUAGAAUCUGGGUAAGGUUGGAAUCUGAGUUCCAAUCCAGUACUUUUUUUUUUCUUUUUUCUUUUUCUUUUUUGAAAGAUUACCCUAUCUUUAUUAUCUCCGUUCAUAGUUAUUGUUUCCAAUUUAAUAUGUUUGUAUUAAAAUGUAUCACAAGCUGUUUAAAGUAGCAUUUUAAUGCUUUUCUAAAUUGUUUUAGGAUUUAGCAGUAGGUCUUAGCUUCUCUGCGUCUUUCAGAGCCAUGUUGUUAAGAAUGGAUAUUCAGGGGUGCCUGCAUGGCCCAGUCAGUUGAGUGUCCGACUUCAGCUCAGGUCAUGAUCUCACAGUUUGUGAGCUCGAGUCCCAUGUCAGGCUCUGCUGACAGCUCAGAGCCUGGAGUCUGCUUCGGAUUCUGUGUCUCCCUCUUUCUCCGCUCCUCCCCUGCUCAUUCUCUCUCUCUCUCUCAAAAAUAAAUAAUAAAAAAAAAUUUUUUUUUUUUUUAAAUGGAUAUUGAGUUCUUCAUCGGGGAACUGCAGGAAUAAAAGUGAAAAUGCUUGAAUAACCAGUAGGUUCUUUUUUUGUGUUUGUGUGGUAAAAUAUAUAUACUAAAUUUCAUUUUAACCAUUUAUAAGCAUACAGUUCAAAUAUAGUCAUGGGGCACAUGGCUGGGCUCAAUCUGUGGAGCAUGGGACUCUUGAUCUUGGGGUUGUGAGUUUGAGCCCCAUAUUGGGUGUAGAGGUUACUUAAAAAUAAAAUCUUAAAAAAAAAAUGCAGUCACAGUGUUAUGUAACCCUCACCACUGUCUAUAUUCAAACUUUUUUCAUUAUCCCUAAGAAACACUCCAGACCCAGUAAACAAUAACUGUCCCUUUUCCCCUCCCACUGGUUUCUGGUAAUCUCUAUUCUUCUUCCUGUCUCUAUGAAUUUGCCUAUUGUAGGUAAUACAUAUAGGUUGAAUCACACAAUAUUUGUCCUUCUGUGUUUGACAUAUUUCACAAAGUGCACGUAUCAUCCUUGUAGCCUCUAUCAAAAUUUCAUUAUUUUUAAUGGCCAAAUAAUAUUCCCUUGUAUGUAUAUACCACAUUUUGUUUGUUCCUUCAUCUGUUGAUGGAUACUGCGUUGUUUCCACUUCUUGGCUAUUGUAAAAAAUGCUGCGGGGGCUCCUGGGUGGCUCAGUUGGUUAAGCAUUCAACUUUGGCUCAGGUCAUGAUCUCACAGUUUGUGAGUUCGAACCCCGUGUGGGGCUCUGUGUUGACAGCUCAGAGCCUGGAGCCUGCUUCGGAUUCUAUGUCUCCCUCUCUCUCUGCGCUUCCCCUGCUUGCACACUGUCUCUCUCUGUCUCAAAAAUAAACAUUUAAAAAAGGUGCUAUGAACACUGGCAUGCAAAUAUCUUAUUGAGAACUCACUGUCAGUUCUUUGGGAUACAUACCUAGAAGUAGAAUUGUUGGAUUUUAAGGUUGUUCUGUUUAAAUAUUAAAAUAUAUAUAUUUUUAUAUAUAUUUAUUGUAGCGGGGGGCGAGAAGGGGGGUGCAGAGAGAAAGGAAGAAAGAGAAUUUUAAGCAGACUCCACUCAGCACAGAGCCCGAUGUGAGGCUCUGACAUGAGCUGAAAUCAAGAGUCCAUCGCUUCACCAACUGAGCCACCAGGCUCCAGGUGGGAGUUCUCUUUAACCUUUUGAGAAACGGCCAAAGUUUUCCACAUUAUCUGUACCCUUUUACAUUGCUGUCUGCGAUGCCCAAGGGUUCCAAUUCUCCACAUCCUUGCCCACACUUACUUAUUGUUGUUUUCCAUUCUUUGUGGUUAUAGCCAUUCUACAAGGUGUGAAGUGGUAUCUCAUUGUGGUUUUGAUUUGCAUUUCCCUGACGAUUUGUGGUGUUGGGCAUCUUUUCAUGUGUUUUUUGGCCAUUUUUAAUAUUUUUUGGGGAAAAUAUCUUUUCAAAUCCUUAUAUUUGUCAUAAUUACCCUAUAUAUUAAUCAUAACUCUAGUAACAGUGACAAUGAUGAGCAUAAUUAUAGCAACAACAAUGAUGACAAAGUGAAACUUCCUGGGUGCUUACUAUGAGCGAGGCACAGUUCUGGGUGCUUUAUGCCUUUGAAUUUAUUUAAUCUUCGUGGAUACCCUAUGAGGUAAAUACUGUUAUCCUCAUUUUGUAGAUGAGGAAUCAGAGGCAUAGCGAUCUAAAGGAACUUGCUCAUGGGAUAUAGCAAGUACGUUGCUGAUGUGGGAUUUGAAUCCAGGCAGUUUGCUCUUGAGUUAUGUUCUUGACUUUUAUAUAAUUUGGCUUCUCACCCAUAAAAAAUUCAAACUCUUAGGGACGCCUGGGUGGCUCAGUCAGUUAAGUGACCAACUCUAGCUCAGGUCAUGAUCUCACAGUUCAUUGAUUUGAGUCCCACGACGGGCUCUGCGCUGACCGCUCAGAGCCUGGAGCUUGUUUCGGAUUCUGUGUCUCCCUCUUUCUCUCUCUGCCCCUCCCCAGCUUGUGCUCUCUCUCUCUCUCAAAAAUAAAUAAACAUGAAAAAAAAAUUCAAGCCCUUUUUAUAAAAAGCAUUUAGUGUGAUGUUUGUUAAUUUGAACCUUGAACCUGUAGUUUACCUAUGUGUUUUAUAUAGCACCGUAACUGUAAAAUAAUGACAUUUGAUCUGCUGGAUAUGCUUUGAAUGUCAUGAUGUUACUGAAUAUCUUUGUAGAGUUGUCCAAGUUUUAUUAACUGUAGACAACAUGUGAAAACUGUAUGUGGGUGAGUAGUGUGAUAUUUCUAUAUUUAAUAAAGAUUAAGUCUGUUAGCUAUCUAAAAUUUAUGUAUUUUUAGCAGUAAUACAAAAUAGGAAAAUAGUUUUUUUGUUUUUUAAAUAAAAGCAUGCCUUUCUAGACCUCUUAUUUAUGUUGAUGAAGCCACUGAGAAUGCUGAAAUUUAAGAGACCACACAAUCUUAAGAGCCAUGAGUUGUAUUCAUCUGGAGCAUAGCUUUACUUAUUCUAGGAUUUACAUUUCAAGUGGCUCUCCACUUUAAUAUCAUUAAUUCUAAAAAGGGGAUCCACUUUCAUAGAACCAGGUAAAGCCAAACAUUGAUCAGACCUUGGCCAAAUAACAGACAUUUUAGAAUGUUUAUAGAAUUCACAUGUCCUUCUCUAAAAGCCAGGAACAGUGGCCUCUUGCUGGGUCUUACUUGCUUUCUCCUUAGUUAGUUCCUCUUAAACCUGGCUAUCCUUGUGCUACAUAUGCUUUAUAAUUUAAACCUAUCCUAAGGUGUGUAUUUCAAGGACUCAGAGACUUAAAGGAUGAUUCAUAUGCAGUAAAGUGUGUGAAUCUGUUCUGAAAUUUAACUUUUUUCCUACUAAUAGAUUGUAGUUCUUCAAAAUCUGUGAUUCCUUAAGUUAUGUACAAUGUAGCAAGGUGUAGUGAGGUAUAGUCUUAAAUUCUGAUCAGUUCAUACAUCUUUAAAAAAAUGAGUUAAUAUAUUUGACGUGCAACAAACUAUACACAUUUAAAAUACAAUUUGAUGGGUUGAAAUAUGUUAAUAACUGUGAAACCAUCACCCCAAUCAAGAGAAUUUCUAUUUCUCUUUUCCUCUAAAAAGUUUCCUUGCAUCCCCUUGUAACCUGACUGCCCCAUCCCUCCUACCAUGUCACCGACAAUCACUACUAUGCUUUUUGUCUUUAAAGAUUAGUUUAGGUUUUUACAAAUUUUGAAUAAAUGGAAUCAUACAGUAUAUACUUAUUUCUAGUCUAGCUUCUUUCAGCACAUUUUGGGAUUCUUAUUUAAAAAAAUUUUUUUAAUGUUUAUUUUUGAGAGCGAGGGAGACAGAGUGUGAUCAGCAGAGGGGCGGAGAGCGAAAGAGGGAGACAUAGAAUCCAAAGCAGGCUCCAGGCCCCAGGCUCUGGGCUGUCAACAGAGAGCCUGAUAUGGGGCUCGAAACCGCGAACAGUGGGAUCAUGACCUGCGCUGAAGUCCGACGCUCAGCUGACUGAGUCACCCAGGCGCUCCAGCACAUUUUGAGAUUUAUCCAUGUUAUUUCAUGUAUCAGUGGUUAAUUCCUUUGUAUUGCUGAGCAGUAUUGAAUUCUAUUGGUUAUUCCACAAUUAUUGAUUAGUUCACUUUUGAUGAACAUUUGGGUUGUUGCCAUGUUUUUGGCUAUGACAAAACUUCUGAGAACAUUUGUGUAAAAGUCUUUGUAUAGAUGUAUGCGUUUAUUUUUCUUGAGCAAGUAUUAAAGAGUGGAAUUACUGGGUCACGUAGGUGUAUGUUUAACAUUUUAAGAAACUACUAAACUGUUUUCCUAAGCGCUUGUACAGUUCCAGUUUGCCUGCCUUACCAUCACUCGGGAUGGUCAGUCUUUGAGAUUUUAGCUAUUCUAAGAAAUAUGUAGUGAUACAAAUUGUGGUUUUAAUUUGCAUUUUUCCUGAUGACUACUAUGUUGAGCAUCUUUUCAUGUGCUUAUCAGACGUUCUUCUAUCUUUUUAGUGAAGUGUCAAAUCUUUUGUCCAUUUUAAAAUUGGGUUUGUUUUAGGGAACCUGGGUGGCUCAGUUGGUUAAGUGUCUGACUUUGGCUCAGGUCAUGAUCUCAUGGUUUGUGAGUUUGAGCCCUGUGUCGGGCCCUGUACUGACAGCUCAGAGCCUGGAGCCUGCUCUGGAUUCUGUCUCCCUCUCUCUCUCUCUCUCUGCCCCUCUCCUGCUCAUGCUCUGUCCCUCUCUCUCUCAAAAAUAAAUAAACAUUGAAAAUUUUUUUAAUUGGGUUUGUUUUAUUGAGUUGUAUGAAUUCUUUUUUUUUUUUAAUGUUUAUUUAUUUUUGACACAGAGACAGAGCAUGAAUGGGGGAGGGUCAGAGAGAGAGGGAGACACAGAAUCCGAAGCAGGCUCCAGAGAGCCCAACGCAGGGCUUGAACUCGUGAACCAUGAGAUGGUGACCUGAGCUGAAGUCGGAGGUUCAGCAAACUGAGCCACCCAGGCGCCCCAAGUUGUAUGAAUUCUUAAUAUAUUUUGCAUGUAAAUCAUUAAUCAGGUAUGUGAUUUAUUGUUGUUUAUUCCCAGUCUGUGACUUCCCUUAUCAUAUUCCUAACAGUGACUUCAAAGAAUAGAAGUUCUUAAUUUUGAUGGUAUUGAUUUUUUUUUCCUUUUAUGGGUUGUGCUUUGGGUAUUUUAUUUCAGAAAUCUUUGAGGUGGCUGGCUGGCUCAGUUGGAAGAGCACGUGACUCUUGAUCUCAGGGUCAUGAGUUUGAGCACCAUGUUAGAUGUAGAGUUACUAAAAAUGAGUAAAUAAAUAAAUAAACUUAAAGAGAAAA